AUCUCCCCCUCCCGACUUAAUUGGGGGGUAGUAGCAAACCGGCACCUUGGAUACCUUAUGUCAAUGUGCUUUGGUCAUCAUGCAAGGAUUGCUUCUCUUCUUGCAUGGCUCUUCUCCACUUUUCCAAUUCAUAGGUGUUACUCUCAUGCAAGGAUUUCAUCUCUUCUUGCAUGGCUAUUCUCCACUCCGGUGUUAUUCUCAUGCAAGGAUUUCGUCUCUUCUUGCAUGGCUAUUCUCCACUCCACCAAUUCAUAGGUGUUAUUCUCAUGCAAGGAUUGCAUAUCUUCUUGCAUGGCUCUUCUCCACCACCAAUUCAUAAGUGUUAUUCUCAUGCAAGGAUUUCAUCUCUUCUUGCAUGGCUAUUCUCCACUCCACCAAUUCAUAGGUGUUAUUCUCAUGCAAGGAUUGCAUCUCUUCUUGCAUGGCUCUUCUCCAUUCUUCAAUUUUGUAAACACAUCCUUGAACAUGUCUCCAUCAUGAGCGAC
RNAcentral lists this long non-coding RNA (485 nucleotides) under Glycine max (soybean). RNAcentral's name for it is "long non-coding RNA (GMAX_LNC002505)". The record is from RNAcentral. Lineage: Eukaryota; Viridiplantae; Streptophyta; Magnoliopsida; Fabales; Fabaceae.